GAGCAGCGCCCCGUCGUAGUAUAUCGACAUCGUGGCGGCGGAGUAGUGUACCGGGACGACGUUGGGGUUCGUGACGUGGACGGUGAGGGUAAGCUCGGCGUCGAGGACGGGAAAAUUGAGCUUGAAGGAGCUGAGGCUGAUGGAGAUUAGGUGGAACGUCGGGUCCUUGGGCUUCGCCCGGAUUAAGAGGGCAGCCGCCGCCGCGGAGGCCCCUCCGGCGAUGGAGGAGACUCCUCCGGCGAUGAAGGAGACCCAGUUCCAUUUCCUAGCGCUUUUGCUCGCCAUUUUUCUGUUUCUCCGGCGGAUUUGUAUUUCGAUAUUUUUAGGUUCUUUGAGUGAGGGUGGAUAAAGAAAAGGAGAGCAGGGGGGGUUGAAGUUAUUCGGAAACGGCUUUGGUGCUAGGUUUUCGCUUUCGGGAAGGAGCAUAUGAAAUGACGGAAGUAGGCUUCGAGUGGUAGGUGGGGGAAUGGGGAUGGCGGUGAUUUCGAG
RNAcentral lists this long non-coding RNA (489 nucleotides) under Linum usitatissimum (flax). RNAcentral describes it as "long non-coding RNA (LUSI_LNC007726)". Lineage: Eukaryota; Viridiplantae; Streptophyta; Magnoliopsida; Malpighiales; Linaceae. The record is from RNAcentral.